RNAcentral lists this ribosomal RNA (438 nucleotides) under grassland soil clone sl3_606. Its description in RNAcentral is "bacterial SSU rRNA". It matches the Rfam family "Bacterial small subunit ribosomal RNA", at positions 50 to 496 of the family's 1533-position model. The record is from RNAcentral.
AACACAUGCAAGUCGAACGAUGAACCAGGAGCUUGCUCUGGGGAUUAGUGGCGAACGGGUGAGUAACACGUGAGUAACCUGCCCUGGACUCUGGGAUAACCCCGAGAAAUCGGAGCUAAUACCGGAUAGGACCUGGAACCGCAUGGUUUUGGGUGGAAAGUUUUUUCGGUCUGGGAUGGACUCGCGGCCUAUCAGCUUGUUGGUGAGGUAAUGGCUCACCAAGGCGUCGACGGGUAGCCGGCCUGAGAGGGUGACCGGCCACACUGGGACUGAGACACGGCCCAGACUCCUACGGGAGGCAGCAGUGGGGAAUAUUGUACAAUGGGCGAAAGCCUGAUGCAGCAACGCCGCGUGAGGGAUGACGGCCUUCGGGUUGUAAACCUCUUUUAGUAGGGAAGAAGGGCUUCGGCUUGACGGUACCUGCAGAAAAAGCACCGG